This 120-nucleotide ribosomal RNA is filed under the name Mastacembelus armatus (zig-zag eel). The record is from RNAcentral. Lineage: Eukaryota; Metazoa; Chordata; Actinopteri; Synbranchiformes; Mastacembelidae.
CCCCACGGCCACACCGUCCUGCCAGCGCCCGAUCCCGUCCGAUCUCGGAAGCUAAGCAGGGACCGGGCCUGGUUAGUACUUGGACGGGAGACCGCCUGGGAAUUCCAGGUGCUGUAGGCU